CCCUUAGAUGUUCUGGGCCGCACGCGUGAUACACUGAGUGGAUCAGCGGGUCAGGUUGCGCGAAAGCGUUUCCUAAUCUUUAAAUCCGCUCGUGAUGGGGAUUGACGGUUGCAAUUUUCUGUCAUGAACGAGGAAUACCUUGUAAGCGCGGGUCAUCAUCCCGCGCUGAAUACGUCCCUGCCCUUUGUACACACCGCCCGUCGCUCCUACCGAUUGAGUGGUCCGGUGAGGCUUUGGGAUCUGAGCGGAAAGAGCGUUUCGCUGUUUCUGCUCGGAAAACUCAGUCGAACCUUAUCAUUUAGAGGAAGGAGAAGUCGUAACA
This 322-nucleotide ribosomal RNA is filed under the name uncultured eukaryote. RNAcentral's name for it is "partial 18S ribosomal RNA". It matches the Rfam family "Eukaryotic small subunit ribosomal RNA", at positions 1470 to 1796 of the family's 1831-position model. The record is from RNAcentral.